GUCUAUGGCCAUACCACCCCCAAUCUAACACGCCCAAUCUCAUCUAAUCUUGGAAGCUAAGCAGGGUCAGGCCUGUUUAAUAUUUGGAUGGGAGACAGCCUGGGAAUAUUGGAUGCUAUAGGCU
RNAcentral lists this ribosomal RNA (124 nucleotides) under Microcebus murinus (gray mouse lemur). The record is from RNAcentral. Lineage: Eukaryota; Metazoa; Chordata; Mammalia; Primates; Cheirogaleidae.